Long non-coding RNA from Globicephala melas (long-finned pilot whale), 1208 nucleotides. RefSeq lists it as uncharacterized. The record is from RefSeq and is a predicted model, not a curated record. NCBI's taxonomy places the organism in Eukaryota, Metazoa, Chordata, Mammalia, Artiodactyla, Delphinidae.
UCUCUCCCAAGUAGUGAAGAGUGUUGCCACGUCCUGCCUGCUGUCUGCUGUCCACAGUGGGGGUGUCACUCCAGGACCCUUUGUUUCAGUUUCCUUCCUGGUUCGUCUACUAUAAUACAUCCCACAUGGUCAUGGUUUCAAAUUGCACAAUUAUUUUAUUGUAGUUUGAAUCAAAUUCAGGGUGAAAGUUAUAUAGACUUUUGAUAUUAGAAAAUAUGUAAAUGAGAUAGUAUCAUUCAUAUUAUAUAUUGAGGCAUUUCAGGAACAAAGAGGUCAAAUACUUGGUUGAAAGUCAGUAAGUCAGUUAUAGCAUCUCUCAUUACUCAAUUAGCUUAGCCCAGUUUGAAAAUGUAGUGCCAUUUAUGCAUGUUCUCUUUGUUUGAUGCACUUUCAGUUGGUUAGCACUCUCCAGGCCUUCUAAUCUGGAGUUACUCUCCUUUCUUAUUAGGUCUUCAACUUUCAUAUAGAAGUCAGAUUCAUACAUUCAUUCUAGGAGUAAAUACUUUUUAUUUGGUAAAUAAUGUUUAUUUGGUAAAUAAUUUAUUUGGUAAAUAAUGUUGAACUCAGCAUUCUGCCAGGUACUCAGGAUUCAAAGAUGAGCAAAACAGAUUUGAUUCGACCAAGAGUUGCCAUCUGGUCAUUUGUCUCUUUGUUUAAUAUCUGAAUCCUCCAUUAGACUGUAAGCUUCAUGGAGUCAGAUGUUUUUCUUGUGUACCGUUGUAUGUCCUCUGGCCAGUAGAGUGGUGCUAUAAUAUUAACUGAACGAAAGAGGAGAGGAGUAGUACGAGUUUAAGUAAGACAAUUUUGGCUGUGGAGAGGGGAGGGAAGAGGGGGAAUUUGACACUCAAGGCACUGCUAGCAUCAGUCUUGGCAGUGCUCUGCUGCCAAAGGGAGUGGAAAGGUCCCGGCAGAAGAAAGACGGAAACCCCCAGCAAUGUGAAGGCCUGAGAGAACUGUCUCAGAAAAACAUCCAUUACCAAACAGGAAUUGGCUCAUAUGAUUAUGGAAGAAUGUCAAGAUCUGAAGCUGACAAGCUGAAGACUCAGGAGAGCCAAUGGUCAACUUCCAGUCGGAAGGCAAGAGAAGAGCUGUGUUCCAGCUCAAAGACAGGGAUGUUAACUUCCCAGAAUAUCCAGACUGUACCUGCCAGUUGCCUGAGUAGCCUCCACAGCUUCAAGAAAGACCCAAAGCAAAAAAGUGAAAAAAUA